GAUGAAGAACGCAGCGAAAUGGGAUAAGUAAUGUGAAUUGCAGAAUUCAGUGAAUCAUCGAAUCUUUGAACGCACAUUGCGCCCGCCAGCACUCUGGCGGGCAUGCCUGUUCGAGCGUCAUUUCAACCAUCAAGCCCCCAGGGGCUUGUGCUGGGGCCCUGCGGCUGCCCGCAGGCCCUGAAAACCAGUGGCGGGCUCGCUAGUCACACCGAGCGCAGUAGCACAUCUCGCUCAGGGCGUGCGGCGGGCUCCUGCCGUGAAACCCCCCACUGUAACCCCAAAGGUUGACCUCGGAUCAGCUAGGAAUACCCGCUGAACUUAAGCAUAUCAAUAAGCGGAGG
This 341-nucleotide unclassified non-coding RNA is filed under the name soil metagenome. RNAcentral's name for it is "partial contains 5.8S ribosomal RNA, internal transcribed spacer 2, and large subunit ribosomal RNA". The stretch from base 1 to 120 matches the Rfam family "5.8S ribosomal RNA", at positions 35 to 154 of the family's 154-position model. The record is from RNAcentral.